CCUACGGGAGGCAGCAGUGGGGAAUAUUGGGCAAUGGGGGAAACCCUGAAGCAGCAACGCCGCGUGGAGGAUGAAGGUUUUCGGAUUGUAAACUCCUUUUGUUAGAGAAGAUAAUGAAGGUAUCUAACGAAUAAGCACCGGCUAACUCCGUGCCAGCAGCCGCGGUAAUACGGAGGGUGCAAGCGUUACUCGGAAUCACUGGGCGUAAAGAGCGCGUAGGCGGGAUAGCAAGUCAGAUGUGAAAUCCUAAGGCUUAACCAUAGAACUGCAUUUGAAACUGUUAUUCUAGAGUAUGGGAGGGGUAGGUGGAAUUCUUGGUGUAGGGGUAAAAUCCGUAGAGAUCAAGAGGAAUACUCAGUGCGAAGGCGACCUGCUAGAACAUAACUGACGCUGGGGCACGAAGGCGUGGAUGUCGAACAGGAUAGAUACCCCUGUAGUC
This 439-nucleotide ribosomal RNA is filed under the name uncultured bacterium. Its description in RNAcentral is "partial 16S ribosomal RNA". It matches the Rfam family "Bacterial small subunit ribosomal RNA", at positions 338 to 795 of the family's 1533-position model. The record is from RNAcentral.